UAAACUGAGAGUUUGAUCCUGGCUCAGGACGAACGCUGGCGGCGUGCCUAACACAUGCAAGUCGAGCGG
This 69-nucleotide ribosomal RNA is filed under the name Clostridiaceae bacterium. RNAcentral's name for it is "partial 16S ribosomal RNA". It matches the Rfam family "Bacterial small subunit ribosomal RNA", at positions 1 to 69 of the family's 1533-position model. The record is from RNAcentral. Lineage: Bacteria; Bacillati; Bacillota; Clostridia; Eubacteriales; Clostridiaceae.